This 253-nucleotide ribosomal RNA is filed under the name uncultured bacterium. Its description in RNAcentral is "partial 16S ribosomal RNA". It matches the Rfam family "Bacterial small subunit ribosomal RNA", at positions 524 to 776 of the family's 1533-position model. The record is from RNAcentral.
UACGAAGGGGGCUAGCGUUGUUCGGAAUUACUGGGCGUAAAGGGCGCGUAGGCGGCCCCGCGCGUCGAGCGUGAAAGGCCUGGGCUCAACCCAGGAAUGGCGCUCGAUACGGCAGGGCUAGAGUGCAGGAGAGGAUGGUGGAAUUCCCAGUGUAGAGGUGAAAUUCGUAGAUAUUGGGAAGAACACCGGUGGCGAAGGCGGCCAUCUGGACUGCAACUGACGCUGAGGCGCGAAAGCGUGGGGAGCAAACAGG